ACAGAGGGGGCAAGCGUUGUUCGGAGUUACUGGGCGUAAAGGGCGCGUAGGCGGCCUGCUAAGUCGAACGUGAAAUCCCUGGGCUCAACCCAGGAACUGCGUCCGAUACUGGUUGGCUUGAAUCCGGGAGAGGGACGUGGAAUUCCAGGUGUAGCGGUGAAAUGCGUAGAUAUCAGGAAGAACACCCGUGGCGAAGGCGGCUCUCUGGGACGGUACUGACGCUGAGACGCGAAAGCGUGGGGAGCGAACAGGA
Molecule: ribosomal RNA, 253 nt
Filed under: uncultured prokaryote
Description: partial 16S ribosomal RNA
Rfam family: Bacterial small subunit ribosomal RNA
Source: RNAcentral